GGGCCUAUAGCUCAGUCGGUAGAGCAGCGGCCUUUUAAGCCGUUGGUCGCAGGUUCGAGUCCUGCUGGGCCCACCA
This 76-nucleotide transfer RNA is filed under the name Acidobacteria bacterium ADurb.Bin340. RNAcentral describes it as "tRNA-Lys". It matches the Rfam family "tRNA". From Rfam's summary of the family: Transfer RNA (tRNA) molecules are approximately 80 nucleotides in length. Their secondary structure includes four short double-helical elements and three loops (D, anti-codon, and T loops). Further hydrogen bonds mediate the characteristic L-shaped molecular structure. tRNAs have two regions of fundamental functional importance: the anti-codon, which is responsible for specific mRNA codon recognition, and the 3' end, to which the tRNAs corresponding amino acid is attached (by aminoacyl-tRNA synthetases). tRNAs cope with the degeneracy of the genetic code in two manners: having more than one tRNA (with a specific anti-codon) for a particular amino acid; and 'wobble' base-pairing, i.e. permitting non-standard base-pairing at the 3rd anti-codon position. RNAcentral also lists the same sequence under 4 other names. Lineage: Bacteria; Pseudomonadati; Acidobacteriota. The record is from RNAcentral.